Molecule: non-coding RNA, 73 nt
Organism: Pangasianodon gigas (Mekong giant catfish)
Lineage: Eukaryota; Metazoa; Chordata; Actinopteri; Siluriformes; Pangasiidae
Source: the annotation of a GenBank genome assembly
UCCCUGGUGGUUUAGCGGCUAAGGAUCCCUCACUCUCACCCCUGUGGCCUGGGUUUGAUUCCCAGCCAGGGAA